AUGACAACGGAAAGCACACAAAAGAUGAUUGUGCAAUGGUGCAACCUAAUAGAAAAGGGUGACGGCCACCAAGCCAAGAUAGACAUGGGGUGCUACGCUGAAGAGUUGACUCUAGGAGUCAUUGAACGGGUGAUCUUCGGCGCGCACUACAAAGAAGCCCGGGAGGUGUUCACCGAGGGCAAGGAGAUCCAGAAGCUCGCGGUGCGUGCGUUUGCAGAUCCUCGAAUACCCGGACUUAGGUCGAUAACGAGCAAGAUAAUACGGCUCAUAAAGGAUCGGCUUGCGAGUGGUGUGGACGGAGAUGACCUAAUCGGGUUGAUGCUAUGGGCAAGCAAGUCAGAAGAAGUCAAGUCAUUGAGCAGCGAUGAGAUGAUCGGUGAGUGCAAGACCAACUUCGCCGCAGGGCAGGACACAGGUGCCACCCUCCUCAUCUGGGGGAUGUUCUUGCUCACCAUCUACCCAGAAUGGCAAGAGAGGCUCAGGGAGGAAGUGCUGAGAGAAUGCGGGGAUGAUGAUGGCGACGCCCGCUAUAGCAAUAUCAUCCAGCUUAACAUGUUCCUUCUGGAGACACUGAGGCUCUAA
This 582-nucleotide ribosomal RNA is filed under the name Triticum aestivum (bread wheat). RNAcentral's name for it is "partial small subunit ribosomal RNA". Lineage: Eukaryota; Viridiplantae; Streptophyta; Magnoliopsida; Poales; Poaceae. The record is from RNAcentral.